Molecule: transfer RNA, 91 nt
Filed under: Magnetococcales bacterium
Lineage: Bacteria; Pseudomonadati; Pseudomonadota; Magnetococcia; Magnetococcales
Description: tRNA-Ser
Rfam family: tRNA
About the family: Transfer RNA (tRNA) molecules are approximately 80 nucleotides in length.
Source: RNAcentral
GGAGAGAUGGCCGAGCUGGCUGAAGGCGGCACCCUGCUAAGGUGUUGUAUCCGAUAGGGUACCGAGGGUUCGAAUCCCUCUCUCUCCGCCA